CAGCCGCCACGGUAAUACGUAGGGUGCAAGCGUUAAUCGGAAUUACUGGGCGUAAAGCGUGCGCAGGCGGUUAUAUAAGACAGAUGUGAAAUCCCCGGGCUCAACCUGGGAACUGCAUUUGUGACUGUAUAGCUAGAGUACGGCAGAGGGGGAUGGAAUUCCGCGUGUAGCAGUGAAAUGCGUAGAUAUGCGGAGGAACACCGAUGGCGAAGGCAAUCCCCUGGGCCUGUACUGACGCUCAUGCACGAAAGCGUGGGGAGCAAACAGGAUUAGAUACCCCUGUAGUCCCUGUCUCUUUACA
This 301-nucleotide ribosomal RNA is filed under the name uncultured bacterium. RNAcentral's name for it is "partial 16S ribosomal RNA". It matches the Rfam family "Bacterial small subunit ribosomal RNA", at positions 509 to 808 of the family's 1533-position model. The record is from RNAcentral.